CCUACGGGGGGCAGCAGUGAGGAAUAUUGGUCAAUGGACGAAAGUCUGAACCAGCCAAGUAGCGUGAAGGAUGACUGCCCUAUGGGUUGUAAACUUCUUUUAUAUGGGAAUAAAACGUUCCACGUGUGGGAUUUUGUAUGUACCAUAUGAAUAAGGAUCGGCUAACUCCGUGCCAGCAGCCGCGGUAAUACGGAGGAUCCGAGCGUUAUCCGGAUUUAUUGGGUUUAAAGGGAGCGUAGGUGGACUGUUAAGUCUGUUGUGAAAGUCUGCGGCUCAACCGUAAUAUUGCAGUUGAAACUGGCAGUCUUGAGUACAGUAGAGGUGGGCGGAAUUCGUGGUGUAGCGGUGAAAUGCUUAGAUAUCACGAAGAACUCCGAUUGCGAAGGCAGUUCACUGGACUGCAACUGACGCUGAGGCUCGAAAGCGUGGGUAUCAAACAGGAUUAGAUACCCUUGUAGUC
RNAcentral lists this ribosomal RNA (460 nucleotides) under uncultured bacterium. Its description in RNAcentral is "partial 16S ribosomal RNA". It matches the Rfam family "Bacterial small subunit ribosomal RNA", at positions 338 to 795 of the family's 1533-position model. The record is from RNAcentral.